Cuculus canorus (common cuckoo) is the source of this 5509-nucleotide long non-coding RNA. RefSeq lists it as uncharacterized. The record is from RefSeq and is a predicted model, not a curated record. NCBI's taxonomy places the organism in Eukaryota, Metazoa, Chordata, Aves, Cuculiformes, Cuculidae. The transcript is spliced from 3 exons.
AGUAGGGAAACUGUGCUCUGUGGUGAGCUUUCACCGUAUAUGAAGUCUGUGAAAUACAGACCGACACUUCAGUUGAACUCAAUAUCAGGAUGUUAGAAUUGGAGAAAUGUCCCAUGGACUCUUCUUGAAUCAACAAUGUUUGAGUGAAACGAGACUUCCAAGGUCACAGUCACUACCCUGAGUGGCACAGGGAACAGACUUCAUCUCUGCACCUUAUGGUACAUGACACCCUGCAGACACUGCCAACCUUACCCCAUUCAACAGACCUGGCACCCAAAGGGUGUGUGCGCUGCUGUGCCCUGCAAAGCCGCGGCUGUGCUGAGCCUGGUACCUGAGCGCUGCUCAACACCCAGCUGCGGCGAGAGAGAGUGAUAAAGACAGAAAUGAAAGAUGGUAUAGCACUCAAGGAAUAAUCAGUAUCCUCAAUUGUGUUUGUUGAAUGAAUCUGGGAGUAAAACCUGCUGCCCCACAAGUCUGAUCCUGCUGGUCUGUCCAGUGGCAAGGAAGAACUGCAGGGCAGCCCGACCAAAGAGGCUGAUUGAGAUGAUUCUCAGCACAGCCAAAACCAGCUGAUCAUGGUGCCUGUUAAUUUUGAUUGAGCUCUUCCAUAUACAGGGAAGUAUCUCCUCUGGCAGCAGUAAUUCAAUGGGAAGUUACUGGAUCUCAACAAAUACAGCCCACCACAGUGCUCCAUGCUUCCAUCUGUGGGCAGACAGAGCGGAGGAGGCUAUGAACUUACUGAAGAAUAUGGAAUUGUACGUACUAGGAGGUAUUAAAUAGUAUGGGCAAAACUGAAGAGGUUAAUCUUCCUUCUUUGUCAACAUAGUACCUGAUGAAACAUGGAACUUAACUUGUCUAAAAUCAUGUACGUAGAUACAUGCAUAUGUAUAUAUAUAUAUAUACAAAUCUUCUGGGUAUGCAUGUAUGUAUUUCAAAGCAGGGAUAUUGGAAAUGCACAUCUUUGCUUCCCAGGGUUACAGUAUUUUGUGAUUGCUCAGUUUAAAUCCUCCCACUGCAUAAUUGCCAGGAUGAAAAUUAUUUUUUGGUUCCUUUCCUCCUGUACAGUGUUAAUUUUUUAAUGUCAAAUAUGAUGCCUUUGACACUCACAAAAAGUAUCAAUUUGUAAAUUAAUUUAUUUAUAGGUUUUUCUAUAGAGUUCAGCACCAUCAAGUCUGAAUGCCCUUCGAAAGUUGCUAGGUGACACUGUCAUACCUCAGUCUGAUGAACAAAUGAGAGCUCGUAAUGUUGAUGCAGUGACUCCAACCAAACAUCCUGCUUUCAUUUUGACAGAGGCUUUUCUUUUUUAUUUUUUUUGCAAACCAUUGUAGGUUUGUUAUGAACUGCAGGCAAGCUCAAAUUAUACUUUUCACCAGCUAUGAUUUAGUUCAUAACUAAACUAGUUCAUAAAAUCAGUGCAUAUCUUUCCAUGUUGUUUUCAUGGAAAUCAGAGCAAAUUCAUAUAUAUGCAUGAGCAACAAUAUUCAUAGACUGAUGCAGAAAAGAAUUUUCCACAAAUUCUAACCUGAAUUUCAUUUAUCGAUGUAGCUAAUUCCUUGUUUUCUUGCCUGUAUUGAAAUGGAGUACAGCUGACCUGAAGAGCGCAUCGUCUUUGUAACACUCCUUUGCCUUCAGGAAGAGUGGUUAAAAUCCCAUAUGUGCAGUGGAGACAAGGUCCUGCACACGGAACAGGAACAUGUGAACAUAUGUACUUGUGAGUCCAGGACGGUGCAUUCAAUUCUGACAUUAUGGAUCUGUAAUCAGAACAAGCAAGUAUUUUUCUGGCUUCCUCCCAGUAACUGGAACUAUAAUAGUUAAUAGAAGAGCUUUAUGGCAGGGAAAAGGAUGAAAAGAGCAAAUACCCUUUAUUUUUUUUUCGUAAUUUUCCUUCUUUUCUUUUUUUUUUUUUCCUUAAAAUAAGCAUUUUCUAUUUUGAAAUAAUAACCACACUACAUUGACUCAGAAUGUUCACAAGGUGUUUCCACUUACAUGGAGUUGGUGAGAAAUGUGUUUCUAACAAUUUCCUGCAGGAAACCUAUGGAGCUGGGAAAUGUCUCUCAGUGGGGCUCGUCUGCAACGAAAUUGUGGAUUUGAAAAGGGGCUGUGAAUGGGCUUCCAAGGCUUUGGCCUGGCUCUCUCUAGCAACAUUUUUGUGAUCCAAAUUGGCAUUGAUUCGAAAUGUGUUCCUGUGCAGGGUAAACAAUAGCUUAGAGCAGUUGCUAAUUAGUGCGGCUCUGUUCUGUUCUUGCUUUUCAUGUCUAGAUACCUCUUUCAGAAAUAAGAAGCAGAAGGAAAACAUGCAAGCAGAAGAAUCAGAAGGCAAAGGAAGAGAAAUGGAUGGGGAUUGCAAGUGAAAAAUUAAUGAGGAGAGACCUCAUUUCACAAAGCUUAUAUAAAGCCGGGCUGCAUCUGUGUGAGGAACAGUGACCCAGAAAGAGAAAUCUGUAAAAAUUUAGAGCAAAGUGCAGAACUUGGUUGCCUCUUUUCCUUUGAGAUGCACCUACAUUAACAAACAAGGAUCCCUCUUGCCUAUGGCCACCGCAAGCUCACCUUUGAAGGUUGUUCCUUGUUUUCCCAUGCUUGGGAAGCAGCCGGGUGCUCUCAGUGCUCAUGGAGAGGUGGUGGCUGAGCAGGAGUCCAGAGAAACUGCACUGUGGGCUCAGUGUGGCUUAUCUCACAUUUAUUUUGCGAUACAGACCUCCUUAUGCAGCCAUAUUUUUUCUAUCCAUUCAUCAUAUAUAUAUAUAUAUAUAUGAUGACGACAUAUAUAUACACACACACACGUGUCUAGUGGGACAUGUCCCUGCCCAUCUCAGGGGUGUUGGAACUCAAUGAUCAUUAAGGUCCUUUCCAAUCCAAACUGUUCUAUGAUUCUAUGAUUCUCUAUAAAUAUAAGUAAAAGCACUUAACUUCUGGCCAAUUUGAAACUCUUUGUAACACCACAGCUGCCUGAUGAGAAUCGCCUUUUUGGAAUGCUCAGGAUUGUUCCCAGCAUAGGUGAGCAGGUCAAAAUCUCUGUUUGUGGGGGCAGCAGAAGGUUGCAGAAAGUAAUUAUUGCGGAAAAAAAAACCCAUUCCUAAAAUGGCAGCUGGGUAGUACUAAAAAGGAAGGGGAAUAUUUCUCAUUAUUUUACAAUUCAAACUAUUAAUUCAUGGGUAUGUUCUUUUAUAGCCAAACCCAGGAGAAAAAGACCUUAGUACCUUUCAUGUCAGGGCUGAGAUUCUCACCCCAAAUACUCACUACUUUCUGCCUGAAAAACAGGGUAUUUCAUAGUUUCCCUGAAAAAGAAAGGAGCACCUGUGGGAGUGCCAAACCAGCACACUAAUUUCAAUCACACCCCUCGCUUACUCGUCUGGUGCCCUGAGUGGAAACUCAGAAUUAUUUAAAAUGAAAGUUUUAUCUUCUAUACUGGGAACACCUCAGGAAAUAUCCAGCAGCUCACUUUCUGUGCUACUAAUGGGUCUCCAGGUAUUAACACAGCACACCUCUCCUACUAAUUUCUACUGCCGUUCUUUGCCUUAUAGUUCGAAUAAAGGGAUGGAGGCAUCAUCUGCUAUCUCGUCGCAUAAGCUUUUUCUCUGAGUAACAUCAUGCGUUAGCAGUCAGUCUAAUUUGAUUGUUUCCAAACCAGAAAGGACAGCUGUCAGCCGCCUCCCAGAACAAAUUCAAAGGCUAUAAUCAAGAAAUCUUCUCCAAGAAGUUGUUUCAAGCAGCUGCUUAUCACUCUUCAAAAGACUGGGAAGACAAACUAGUCAAUUUAUUCUAAUGGACAGGUACAAUCUGAGUAUUAGUAUCUUGCUAAUAUUGACUGAUAAGAUUUAAACGAAUUUGAAUGCUGUGGAUGUCAGCUGCUAGACUGGCAGGAGACGAAGCAGUGUUGAUAAAUAGUUGUACCUGCAAAAGAGAGUAAUUACAGUUUAUUUUCUUAGGUGUUAACUAUUGAAAUUAAUAAUGUUUAAAACCUGCACUUUGUAAAUCUAUUCAGAUUUCCCUUUGAAAUAAUUGUUGCAGUUCUCAUAAGGUUGCAAGGAACCACCACAGAUUAGUAGGGAUUUCUCCUGAUAAAUCUGAUCUGAGUUCUUUAUAGAUGUGGCACCAAUAUUUCCUGCCCUCUCCUAACUCCUCCUUCCAUCCAGAAUCCACUGACAACUUAAAACAUGCUUAUUCGCCUAUCACUUGUGCCAGGUAGGGCAAAGGAUUGUUCUUUCCACUUAGAGACUGGGAGGACAACCAUGGAAAGGCUGCUCCCCCUGUCCUGGAAGGAAUUUAGCUCUGUCAGCAUCACUGAGCAACACCUGCAGCUGAUGAACCAUGAAGCAGCAUAUUUAUUUUCCUACAUGCGAGCUGUCCAGGGCCAGAUCCCUGGGAUAUCAGCCAGCAAGGCAACCUCACCCUGGCUGUUUUAGUGUAUUUAUGCAUUUUGGUUUCGUUUAAGACUGCUGUUGCAGAGGGAGAGACUAUUAAACCAUCCAUUGCAAAGUUAGGUCUAGAAAAAUACACACUUCCCAAAAUCUGGUUUCUUUCUGUUUUAGCAGCACAUUACCUCUUUUGCCCUUGCUACCUGAAGCUUUCUGACCCUGGGACCUCUGCACUGAGGGAAGAGCAUCCCUAGGGCCUGGCUCGGAGAUGCUUGGGUAGCCAGCAAGUGACUUCUUAACCUCAAGAUACCAAUUAAGAAAUGCCCUUGAGUCAGCUCCAAGUCAGGUAACAAAACAAAAGGCUCCAAAAGGCCUAAGGAGUGUUGGAUGCUCAGUAGAUAACAAGACCUGCAAGACCUUACUGUUGGUGACAGGCAGAUAAUUUCAAAACAUAGAGCUUAAGUUUUACCGAAAGUUCUUUAAAACCACUUACGUACAGUUUUGUUUUCAGAAAUACUAGCAAAUUUUUCACUUUCCUCUUCCCAAAUAUCCGAUUAUUUAACAGAGUUGAACUAUUAUUGCCUUAACAAAGAAAGAACUGUUCACAAGCUCGUAAAAGUAUUUUUCCAAUAAAUCCUCUGUUUUGUCUUUUGUGAGCUGAAACAACCUUUGAUGCUGACAGACAAUUGAUUAGAGCUAGAUAAACAGUAUUAAGCAGACAAAAUAUUUCUUCAAUAAGAGCAUUCAGGGGUUUCUGAAUAAUAUCUUAUCCCUUAUCAAUCUUUAAAAGGAUUUUUAUUUAUCACUGAAGUGCAUAUCUAAACAAAUUACAGAACAGUGGUUUGCCUGCAAACCAUUGACUUGGACUAUCUACUUUUUAUCAAACAAAGCUAAUUUGCAGUUUAACCUAUUUCCUGCUUUUCUGAGGGGAUUGUAACUUUUCGGUAUGAGAAUAAAACAUUAUUACACGCAACAAAUAGAGCAUAUCUAAGCACAUACUUUCAACAAAAUACUUUUCAAACUUUUGAUGUUUGUGGUCAUUAUCAUGAAGGUUAAUGAUCACAGGAGUAAUCACAAGCAAUAGGUGCUGAAACUCUUUCAAUGAAGAAGCAGAAAGUGAAUAUGAAGCUUUAACAUCCUGACAUUUAUAUGCA